AAAUAAAACAAUAAAAUACAAGUUUUCUUCUUCUUCGUUGCUGAACGAGCUGCCGAAGCUGCUGCUUUCUUACGCCAGAUGGGGUGUAGUGCGCUGGCGACAUCUAUUGCUUGUUCUGCUCCGUGUGAACAUCUUCAUGUGCAGUUUUAGAGUCAUUGCAUCUCCUUAACUCUGUUAUUUAGCAGACGGACUACUGUUAAAAAUACAACUUUAACGAUUCACUCGAAUGUAUUCAAAUAUCUACAAAAAUGUGAAAAUGUCAAUUCGAUUAUUAUCCAUAAUUUUGUGUUAUUUUUACAGCUUCAGAAAUUGUGGCCUAGAGGCCACACUUGUUUAAGUGUGUAGUCACAGGACCUUGUAUGGUCUUUACAGUCUCUGAGAUUAAUAGUCACGGGUACCUAUAAGCAUUUCUUUCAUGAGUACUUACAGUUUCUUGAUACCAAAGUGGCCAUAUGGUUAAAUUUAAUUUCUAAUACUAUUAUAAUACCUACAAAUACACAGACAUUUUCCAUAAAAACGCUUCCAAAUAUAUUAACUUUGUUUAACAAACACACACAUGCAUUUUCCCACUGCCACGUUCAUCAUUUGACCACAUUGAUUGGCGACCAUCCAGCAACUUGCGAGGGGUCAACUGAGCAUAUUGCCAAUCAGAGACUUCGAUUCAAUUUCCUCGACUUGCCAGAGAGACGAUAAUGGGAAUGGAGCAUAAAAGCCAAGUGCGGGUGUUGCAACGCAAACGAUUCAUUCAAAAUCGGAGCAAUCAAGGCAUCACAUCAGGAUCAGGCCAAG
RNAcentral lists this long non-coding RNA (789 nucleotides) under Drosophila guanche. The record is from RNAcentral. Lineage: Eukaryota; Metazoa; Arthropoda; Insecta; Diptera; Drosophilidae.